CUGCGUAGCUCAGUAGGAUAGAGCACAGGAUUCCUAAAAAAUUGGGCACUUUCAGAAGAAAUUCUAAAAGUGAAUCUGCUCAAAUUCGGGGAAAACUUCACAAGAAUUUGUAUGUCAAUCCCGAGCUAAGUCUCUUUUUAAACAAAGAGAAAAGUGUAGAGACUGAACGGGCAGCACCUAAAAAGCAUAAGCUUUAAGGUGAAGAGACAGUCCAGACCACAAACAGUUUUUUUG
This 234-nucleotide non-coding RNA is filed under the name Bartonella sp. AR 15-3. RNAcentral's name for it is "Intron_gpI". The stretch from base 26 to 234 matches the Rfam family "Group I catalytic intron". From Rfam's summary of the family: Group I catalytic introns are large self-splicing ribozymes. Lineage: Bacteria; Pseudomonadati; Pseudomonadota; Alphaproteobacteria; Hyphomicrobiales; Bartonellaceae. The record is from RNAcentral.